GCCUAAGCUAUGUCUUGGUGGCCAAUAGGAUGGCUGUGUAUCUCCCACAUGACUCGCUGCCUCUGUCUUUCACAUGGGCUGUAAUUUAGUUCAAUUCAGAACUGCAGAUAGUACAGCUUUCACAGGAGCAAGGAUGCCUGAGCACAAGUGGCUGAGUUCCGAGUGACUUUAUGAAGCACUUUCCUACCUCCCUCUGUCAUGAAAACGGGGAUUCUGCACCUGCGUCAGGGACAGUCUGGCAAAAGCCUCUGCUAUGCCUCCGGGGACAAGGAACUAGCACAAAUAACCAUUUUGAAAUUGGAUCUUGGCAAAAUUAGCAACAAAUCCAUAAAGGAAACUGAAAGCAAUUGGAUCUCCAUCUUCAGUCGCAGUCCCACAAAAGUUGGAGAAAUACGUUGUCUCCAAAGAGGAUACAGCUGUACCCUAAAAUUAGGACAUAAUUAAGAAAGACACAGAAUCUGAAGAAGGCUCCGGGCACCGAGCUGCCAGCACAGACCCCAAUGCAGGGCUCGAACCCAUGAACCAUGAGAUCAUGACCUGCAUCGAAGUUGGACGCAUAACCGACUCAGACACCCAGGCUCCCUGAUAAAAAGUUUUUACUUAUUAUAAAACAUAAA
Panthera uncia (snow leopard) is the source of this 617-nucleotide long non-coding RNA. RefSeq lists it as uncharacterized. The record is from RefSeq and is a predicted model, not a curated record. The transcript has 3 exons. NCBI's taxonomy places the organism in Eukaryota, Metazoa, Chordata, Mammalia, Carnivora, Felidae.